Molecule: ribosomal RNA, 405 nt
Filed under: uncultured bacterium
Lineage: Bacteria
Description: partial 16S ribosomal RNA
Rfam family: Bacterial small subunit ribosomal RNA
Source: RNAcentral
AUUGAACGCUGGCGGCAGGCUUAACACAUGCAAGUCGAACGAGUGGCGGACGGGUGAGUAAUGCUUGGGAAACUGGCUUCUGGAGGGGGAUAACUACGGGAAACUGUAGCUAAUACCGCGUACCAUAGGAUGAGCCCAAGUGGGAUUAGGUAGUUGGUGAGGUAAAGGCUCACCAAGCCGACGAUCUCUAGCUGGUCUUAGAGGAUGACCAGCCACACGGGAACUGAGACACGGCCCAGACUCCUACGGUAGGCAGCAGUGUGGAAUAUUGCGCAAUGGGGGCACACUGACGCAGCCAUGCCGCGUGAAUGAAGAAGGCCUUCGGGUUGUAAAGUGCUUUCGGUAGCGAGGCGUUACCUACAGAAGAAGCACCGGCUAACUCCGUGCCAGCAGCCGCGGUAAUAC